UAAUAAGUGUUUUAUUGGCACUUUUUUAAAUCCAUAUCCACCUUGUGUGCAAUGUCAGUCGAUCUUCUUCAUGGAGAUCGACCGAACAUCAACCUUUAUCUUUUAACUCUUUGUCUGAAAAAUAUUAUGAAUAAAACAAUUCAAAAUA
RNAcentral lists this unclassified non-coding RNA (148 nucleotides) under soil metagenome. RNAcentral's name for it is "partial internal transcribed spacer 1". The record is from RNAcentral.